GAUGAAGAACGUAGCGAAAUGCGAUAAGUAAUGUGAAUUGCAGAAUUCAGUGAAUCAUCGAAUCUUUGAACGCACAUUGCGCCCGCCAGUAUUCUGGCGGGCAUGCCUGUCCGAGCGUCAUUUCAACCCUCAAGCCCCCGGGCUUGGUGUUGGAGAUCGGCGAGCCCCCCGGGGCGCGCCGUCUCCCAAAUAUAGUGGCGGUCCCGCUGUAGCUUCCUUUGCGUAGUAGCACACCUCGCACUGGGAAACAGCGUGGCCACGCCGUAAAACCCCCCACUUCUGAAAGGUUGACCUCGGAUCAGGUAGGAAUACCCGCUGAACUUAAGCAUAUCAAUAAGCGGAGGA
This 345-nucleotide unclassified non-coding RNA is filed under the name soil metagenome. RNAcentral describes it as "partial contains 5.8S ribosomal RNA, internal transcribed spacer 2, and large subunit ribosomal RNA". The stretch from base 1 to 120 matches the Rfam family "5.8S ribosomal RNA", at positions 35 to 154 of the family's 154-position model. The record is from RNAcentral.